UACGGAGGGUGCAAGCGUUGUCCGGAAUCACUGGGCUUAAAGCGUGUGUAGGCGGAUUUGUAAGUACCUUGUGAAAUCCCACGGCUCAACCGUGGAACUGCUUGGUAUACUGCUUAUCUUGGGCCAUCUAGGGGCGAGCGGAACAAACGGUGGAGCGGUGAAAUGCGUAGAUAUCGUUUGGAACGCCAAUGGUGAAAACAGCUCGCUGGGGAUGUGCCGACGCUGAGAUACGAAAGCCAGGGGAGCGAACGGG
This 253-nucleotide ribosomal RNA is filed under the name uncultured bacterium. Its description in RNAcentral is "partial 16S ribosomal RNA". It matches the Rfam family "Bacterial small subunit ribosomal RNA", at positions 524 to 776 of the family's 1533-position model. The record is from RNAcentral.